GAGUAAAUUUUAAAAAGAAAAAAUAAAAAAAAAAUUUUAUAGAGAAUUAGUAAAGUAAUUGAAUUUUAAAUAAAAUAAAUAAGAAUAAAUUUUAAUAAGUAAAUUUAAUUUAUUGUAUCUUGUGUAUCAGAGUUUAAAAAAAAAGAAAAAAUUUUUUAUAUUCUCGAAAAGAACUAAGAGAUAAAAAUUUAAUUUUUGUUAAUGUUGAAAAAUUAUAAAAAAUUAAUUUUUAGAGAUUAAAAGUUAUUCGGUUUUCUUUAUAUCUAGUUUUUAAAGAAAUAAAUUUAAUUUAAUUUUUAUUUUAUAUAUAAAAGUAUUUAAUUUUAUUUUAUGAUAAAUAGAUUUUUUAAUGAAUUAUUAAUUUUUUAAGAUAUAAAUAAAAUUAAUUAAAUAAAGGGUUAAGCUUUUAUUUAAAUUUUUUAAAUCUAUAGGAUUUUAAAAAUAAAUAAAAUUAUAAAAUUAAAAUUUUUUUUAAAUUAGAGUUAUUAAUAUAAUAUUUAUUUUAUUUAAGUUAAAUAUUUAAAUUUAAAGAUUAAAAAUUUAUUUAAAAAUUAAUAUUAAUUUGAAUUAUAGAGAUUAAAUGUUAGAAUAAGUAUAAAAUAUUUUAGAUUAAAAAAUAUUAUUUAAAAUUAAAAUAAUGAAUUAGGCAAAAUUAAAUCAAUUUUUUAAAAAAUUUAAUUAUUCCACUUGUUUAACAAAAACAUGUCUUUUUGAAUUAAAUUUAAAGUCUAAUCUGCCCACUGAAAGAUAAAUUUUAAAGGGCUGCAGAAUUUUAACUGUACAAAGGUAGCAUAAUAAAUUGUUUUUUAAUUGAAAACUAGAAUGAAUGAUUUAAUGAGAAUAAUACUUUAUGUUUUUAAUUUAUAGAAUUUAUUUUUUUUGUAAAAAAACAAAAAUAAGUUAAAAAGACGAGAAGACCCUUUAGAUUUUAAUUAUUUAGUUGAUUUGAUAUAAUUAUAUAUAUAGUGUUUUAUUAACAAAAUAAUUUGAUUGGGGUGAUUUAUAAAUUUAAAUAACUUUAUUUAAAUAAGUUUAAAAAUUUUGAUUGAAAAAAUAUAUAUUUAUAUUAACAUAUAAAUUUAUGAGAUUGAUUUAGUUAUAUGGAUUAAAGGAUAAAAUUACCUAAGGGAUAACAGCGUAAUUAAAAUUUUUAGUUCUUAUAGAAAUUUUAGGUUGCGACCUCGAUGUUGGAUUAAGAUUAAUUUAAAUUGAAGAAAGUUUAUAUUUUAGUCUGUUCGACUAUUAAAAUCUUACAUGAUCUGAGUUCAAACCGGUGUGAGCCAGGUUGGUUUCUAUCUUUUAAUAUAAGAAAAUACUUUAGUACGAAAGGAUUAAGUAUUUAAAAUAAUAAAUUUUUAUUUUGUAAGAAAUUUAUUAAUAUAUUUGUGAAAGAGUUUAAGUUUUAAAAAUAAAUAU
Molecule: ribosomal RNA, 1416 nt
Filed under: Hydropsyche pellucidula
Lineage: Eukaryota; Metazoa; Arthropoda; Insecta; Trichoptera; Hydropsychidae
Description: 16S ribosomal RNA
Source: RNAcentral